CCUACGGGGGGCAGCAGUGAGGAAUAUUGGUCAAUGGACGGAAGUCUGAACCAGCCAUGCCGCGUGCAGGAAGACGGCUCUAUGAGUUGUAAACUUCUUUUGCCAAGGGACAAAAUCAGGCUCGAGAGCCUGACCGAGGGUACUUGAAGAAAAAGCAUCGGCAAACUCCGUGCCAGCAGCCGCGGUAAUACGGAGGAUGGGAGCGUUAUCCGGAUUUAUUGGGUUUAAGGGGUGCGUAGUCGGACUGUUAAGACAGCGGUAAAAGCCCGGGGCUCAACCCCGGCGAGCCGUUGAAACUGGCUGUCUUGAGAUGUCGAGAGGUAUGCGGAAUGCGCAGUGUAGCGGUGAAAUGCUUAGAUAUUGCGCAGAACUCCGAUUGCGAAGGCAGCAUACCGGCGGCGAUCUGACGCUGAGGCACGAAAGCGUGGGUAUCGAACAGGAUUAGAUACCCUUGUAGUC
RNAcentral lists this ribosomal RNA (459 nucleotides) under uncultured bacterium. Its description in RNAcentral is "partial 16S ribosomal RNA". It matches the Rfam family "Bacterial small subunit ribosomal RNA", at positions 338 to 795 of the family's 1533-position model. The record is from RNAcentral.